UACGUAGGGUCCGAGCGUUGUCCGGAAUUAUUGGGCGUAAAGAGCUCGUAGGCGGUUUGUCGCGUCUGCUGUGAAAUCCCGAGGCUCAACCUCGGGCCUGCAGUGGGUACGGGCAGACUGGAGUGCGGUAGGGGAGAAUGGAAUUCCUGGUGUAGCGGUGGAAUGCGCAGAUAUCAGGAGGAACACCGAUGGCGAAGGCAGUUCUCUGGGCCGUAACUGACGCUGAGGAGCGAAAGCGUGGAGAGCGAACAGG
Molecule: ribosomal RNA, 253 nt
Filed under: uncultured bacterium
Lineage: Bacteria
Description: partial 16S ribosomal RNA
Rfam family: Bacterial small subunit ribosomal RNA
Source: RNAcentral